AUGUGGGAACAUAGGGUCUAAUUUUAGAUAAAAAUCUUAGAAAUGUGGGAACAUAGGGGUCUAAUUUUGCAUAAAAAUCUUGUAAAUGUGGGAACAUAGGGUCUAAUUUUAGAUAAAAAUCAUGUAAAUGUAGGAACAUAGGGUCUAAUUUUACAUAAAAAUCUUGUAAAUGUGGGAACAUAGGGUCUAAUUUUGCAUAACAAUCUUGUAAAUGUGGGAACAUAGGGUCUAAUUUUGCAUAACAAUCUUAGAAAUGUGGGAACAUAGGGUCUAAUUUUAGAUAGAAAUCUUGUAAAUGUGUGAACAUAGGGUCUAAUUUUAGAUAAAAAUCUUAGAAAUGUGGGAACAAAGGGUCUAAUUUU
Etheostoma cragini (Arkansas darter) is the source of this 362-nucleotide long non-coding RNA. RefSeq lists it as uncharacterized. Lineage: Eukaryota; Metazoa; Chordata; Actinopteri; Perciformes; Percidae. The transcript is spliced from 2 exons. The record is from RefSeq and is a predicted model, not a curated record.